UUUUUUCAUUUGUAUUUAGGUCUGUGCCUGUGUCUGAUAUACGGAGAGAAAGUAAGAGAGUAAAACACGAAUUUUGGCCACCAUUCAAAUCAAAUGAUCUGCAGUGCUUCAGGUGAGUCACAAGUAUUGACCUGAAGGAACCAUUAGGGUGUGUGUGUGUGUGUGUGUGUAUGUUUGUUCCCCACCGCCUCUUGACAAUCAGUGUUGUAUCAUUUACCUCCCCAUAACUUAGCAGUUCAGCAUAAGCGAUCAACAGAUUAAGUACCAGGCUUAAAAAAUAAGUACUGGGCUCAAUUCCUUCAACCAAAACCCUUCAAAUCAGUGCCCCAGUAUGGCCACAGUCCUUUGACUGAAACAUUACGUACUAUCUUUAUAAACGGUAGCAUAAACUAAAAUGUGUGUGUGUGUGUGUGUGUGUGUGUGUGUGUAAAGCUGCGACCAUGCCAGCAUUUGUUCGUCCAUAAUAAAUCUAAAAGUACGUUAUCCAAUGUGACAUUCCAUUUGUUAUGUUGAGGUAUGAUUUGAGGGAGAUUUAUUUAACUGCUAUUUCUAACAUGCUGAGCAACAGCGUUGAGACUUCUUCGUUGGAUCGGUGAGGAGGCUAAACAGGGGUGGAGGAAAAGAGAGAGGCGAGCGGCAAAGGGAGUGGUGGGAGGAAUGAUGAAAAGAAACAAUAAUGGUGAGAGUGGGAGAAAGAUAGCGAGAGAGUAGAAAAGGAGAGAGAAGAGUCAUAAGGGAAUAAAAAGAAUGAAAAAAUAGAGGGAGAAAGGGGGAGAGAAGGAUGAAGAAUGCAAGAAGAGAAACACAUGACCAGAAUUGAUACAUGACAAUUAGGGUGAUGAUGAUGAUGAUGAUGACGACGACGACAAUGGCUAUUUGUCAUCAUCAUCGUCACCAUUAUUAUUAUUAUUAUAGGGUAACACAUUGAAAUAUGACGUUGUGACAUUCAUGCUGUCUCCAAAAUUAUUGAGGUACAGCGCAGUAAAUUCAUUCUGAAUGAAGGAGAAUCAAAAUAGGUUGUGACGUUCCAAUGAUGAUGGCGGCGGAGAGUGUGAUAGCGAUGAUGGAAGCGAUAAUGGUGGUGAUGGUGGUGACGACGGCGAAGGCGAUGAUGAAGAAAACGGAUGAUUAUAGCAAUGAUGUCGAUAACGAUAGAAGUGAUAACAGCAAUGACGAUAGCGAUGAUGAUGACAACGACGACGACGGGAAACAGAAACGAACCCAAACGACGAACACUUGCUGAAUAUCAGUGAAGAAAUUAGAAAAAUUGGAGGAGAAAUACUUGAGAAAGAAAGAAAAGACAAAUGAUUGAAUGAAAGUGGCAAAUAAAAGAGGAUGAGAGUCAGAUAAGUUGAUAACAGCAAGGAUGAUGAUGACGACGAUGUUUAUAUUGCUGACAAGUGGUAGCAGAGGUAAUAGAGAUAGAUGAGUGAUGAUGGUUGGUGGUGGGAAUAAAGUUAAUGAGUGAUGGGAUGGCGGGAAGGAGGAGGGGGUACGACACUUGAUGAUGAUGGUGGUGGUGAUACGGGAAUGAUGGUGGGAGGAGGGGAGAGCAUAAUGAUAAUGAAGAACAAUAAUGAUUUUGACUGGCGAUGAUGAUGAUGAUGUAUGUCGUUGAAUAAUGGUAGUGGUGGUGGUGGUAAUGAUGCUGACGACGAAGGUGAACGUCGCUGAGCAAUGAUGGUGACAGCGAUGAUCAUAUUAUAUAUUGACCACGAAUGACGAUUAAGUCGAAUACGAAAAUGAUAGUGGAACUUCAACAAGAACAAUACAGAUGCCUCUACAUCGUUUCAACAACGAGAUGAAGUGAAAUAACAAAGAAAUGAAAUGAGAGGAGAGCGAGUUGAAACGAGAGUUGUUGCUGUUUAACCCUAAGCCAGCCUUGAUUGUGCCAACCUAUGAUCAAAGGGUAUCGCAGCGGCGGCUAUAAAGUUAUCUAUUCUGCGAUAUUGCAUCUAGGACCACUUUAUUCAAUGAGCCAUUAUUUUUUAAGACAGUAGGGUGUCGUUUGAUGGAGAUGCGGCUGCUAUUUCUAGCACGUUCGGUGACUGCGAAGUGGCUACCUCGAUGGCUUGUAUGAGUGAAGGUUAGAAAGAUCACUUGCUAGCGUGAUCAAUAUGGGCAAGUGGAUUAUUGCACUGUUUUCGUUUAUUCGUUUAAUGUCGUGUGAACACAAUGACGUAUUGAUGAUAAUACAGUAAAACAGACAACACUGACAAUGUACAAGGGAGAGAGAGAAAGGCAUAUAUAUAUAUAUAUAUAUACCCAUACAUACAUAAAUACAUAGAGAAUGGGAUAGAAAGACAGAGAGAGAAGGAGGAGGCUAAGAGAGAGAUGGAGGGAGAAAAGCAGAUGAUUUAAUGAGGAGGAGGAGGUUGAGAUGAUAGGAAUGAUUGAAUGGAGAAAGUAGAAAGAUGUUGAGUGUGAAUGGAAAAACAUGAAAAACUGGAGUAGAAGGAGAGGGGUAGCUAGACAGUAAGAGAGAGGGGGAGUCGGAAGAAUGAAGAGAGUAACAACACUAAGAGUAGGAUAUAGAAAGGAGUGUAAGGAGGGGGAGAGAAAGAUGGCAUGUAUUAAAGAGAGCGUGCUGUUAGAAAUUAAUGGGAGGCGGGGUAAAGUACAUGAACGAGGGAGAGAGGGAGAAAAAUUAGUUGAAUCAACAGACUUCAAGGAAGACGACGGCAGAUAAUAUAUACAGAGGAUGUGUAUGUAGAAGAGAGAGUCGUGGAAGGAGUGAGUUGAGAAGCGGAGGGGAAAAAAAAGACGAAAAACAAAAAAAAACGAUGAAUGAGUGAAAGAAUAAAAGAGAAUGAGUCUUUGAAUUAGUGAGUGACAGGUGAAGGGAUGGGGGUUAAAUGGAGUCAGAAACAAGCAAAUGGGAACAAAGUGUUUAUAUGAAAUAAAGAUUUAAAAAAAACGAGGUAACACGGGGAAAAUAUACAAUUAUAUAUACACAUAUAUACACCCAGUUCAGUGGAAAAGACCUCUACCGUGUAAAUAGGUGUAAAGAGAGAGAUUCUGUAAAGUACAGAGAUAUAUAUAUAAUCAAUGGAAAUUAUACAGAAAAAAAGGAAUUAUAUAUAUAUAAUGCGGGUGUAUAUGUAUACAUGUGUGUGAAUACAUGUAUAGUUAUUUAGAUAUAUGUUUAUACGCAUACACACGUUUUUAUGUUCAUUUAUGAUAAAAAAAAUAAUUGUACAUUAAUCUGAUGGGUUACUCUACACUUUUAUGGAAUACGAAUUCCUUCUUAAACAAAAAUAUUACUUCUGACAGCGACUUCGAAGUUUCGGCCAGUUAACCCAUCGUCGGACUGCAGUGUGUAUGUGUGCGUGUGCAAGCGUGGUAGUGUGGUAAGAAGCUUGCCUUCCAACCACAUGGUUCCAGGCUCAGUCACACUGUGUGACACCUUGGGCAAGUGUCUUCUACUAUAGUCACGGGCCGACCACAGCAUUGAGUGUAUUUGGUAGACGGAAACUGAAAGAAGCCCAUCGUGUAUGUAUAUAUAUAUAUAUAUAUAAAUACAUAAUAAAUUUUAAAAAAUCGAAGAACCAACACAAGAUAAGGACAUGGUACAUGCAAAGUAUUAGCAGACACUCAGGGAAUGGAAAGAAAGAUAGCUUUACAUUUCGAACACAAUGCUCUUCUUCAGAAACAGGAGAUGGAGAGAAGUCCAAGAGAAAAAGAAGAUGGAGGAAAAAUAUCGACGAUUCCCAUGUGGUUUAUAUAUAUAUAUAUAUACAUAUAUAUAUAUAUGUAUAUAUAUAUAUAUACAGGGUGUCCCAAAAAAAUGUAUACACAUAGUGGUUCAGCAAAAGAGAAGGAUAGAAUAAGUACUAGGCUUACAAAGAAUAACAAAUUAUUUAAGGUGUGUAUACAUUUUUUUGGGACACCCUGUAUAUAUAUAUAUAUAUAUAUAUAUAUAUAUAUAUGUGUGUGUGUGUGUGUGUGUGUGUGUCCCCACAACCAAUGCUGGUGUGUUUAUGUCCCCCGUAAUCUAGCGGUUUGGCAAAAACAGAACGAUAGAAUAAGUACCAGGCUUACAAAGAAUAAGUCCUGGGGUCGAUUUGCUCGACUAAAGGCAGUGCUCCAGCAUGGCCACAGUCAAGUGACCGAAACAAGUAAAAGAAAAGAAGAAUAUAUAUAUACAUAUACGCGCAUCACAUGCACCUAGAUCAGUGGAAAAGACCUUUAUUGAGUGAAAAGUAUGACAGACACACUGUAAAGUAUUGUUACGAACAUAAAUCAAUAAAACAUGGGAAAUAUGCAGAGUAAAAGAAGAGGAAUAUCUCUCACUCUCUCUCUAAUUAUAUAUACAUAUAUGUAUAAAUAUAUCAUCCUCUUCACUGGACUUGUUGGACAAGUCAUGCAGAGUAUAUUGUAACACAUCUUCUAGAGGUCGAUGCCCUUCCGGUCACCAACCCUCAUCUAUCUCCAAGCAAGGUAAUAUUUCCCCCCCUGUUUUUUCCAUGGAAGACUGGAAACAAACAAUGCUGCUUGUGAGGAUAAUGAUACUCGUUAACAACCAUCAUGUGAUGACAGGUCAAAGGUACACACACACACACACACAUAUAUAUAAAGAAGUCUAUCAUAUAUAUACAUAUAUAUAUAUACACACACACACACACAUAUUUACACUAUAUUCUUUUAUUUGUUUCGGUCAUGUGACUGUGGCCAUGCUGGAGCACUGCCUUUAGUCGAACAAAUCGACCCCCAAGACUUAUUCUAACCGAUUAUGGCCUCCUCUGGUCCCUGUGCCGGUGAUACGUAAAAAGCACCCACUACACUUACGGAGUGGUUGGCAUUACAAAGGGCAUCCGGCUGUAGAAACACUGCCAGGCCUGGUGCAGCCUCCUGGCUUCCAAGACCCCAGUCGAACCAUCCAACCUAUGCUAGCAUGGAAAACGGACAUUAAACAAUUAUGAUGAUGAUGAUAUAUACAAGAGGUAUUGGUAUCUAGAAGACCCAAAGAGUUCAUAGUUUUGAUAGUGAUUCAAGUGAGGAGUCUAAUGGUGUGGGACCUGAAUUAGCAAGCAUAUAUAUAUUAGACAAAUAUACAUAAUAUCCCAGAAACAGGUGUAAGAUUAUAUCUAUAUCUUUUUCUUUAUAAAUGUCCUGAAAACUCAUAGCCUUGGCUUUGUUAUCUCAUUUUGUCUUUUAUAUAUAUAUAUAUAUAUAUAUAUGAAGCUUUACAUAUUGUUGUAUGGUUAUCGACUGCUAUUUCCAGCAAACAUUGAUGCCUUGUUGUGCCAUUAUUUCCUAUUUAUAAUUCUACCUUUAUGAUGCUUUAUUUAGCUGGAAAAUAACACUAUUGUAUUGUAAUGAUAUUUAUAAUUUUUAUAUAUCUAAAUUUGUGUAUAUCUAUGUGUGUGAGUCUGUUGCCCAACACGGUUGUCAAGCAGUGGUGGGCGACAGACUCACACAUCACUGCUUGGCAACCGGUAUUGGUGUGUCUAAAUCCCCACUGAACCAUUUUGAAGGAUUGACUCUAGAGAGAAUUAAAUGAGUGAAGUUCUAAAUAAACCAUUUUAUUGGGGUUAAAACAAUAAAAAUCUCUCAGAUUAAUUAUUCAAGGCUUCUCUACAUUUUAUUGUAUUGCAUCCCUGAUGAGCCAGCAUCACUAAACAUUAUAGUGAUCCGCACAAGUUAAUCCUUUAAAAUUUAAACCAGCUAUAUCAGACCCAAAUAUUCUGCCUUAUGUCCAGUUUAGCCAGAUCUGGCUUCUCACACUUACCCUACCGUGUCAUUCUAAAAAGAAACUAUCCCAUCAUCGAAAUCUCAAAGCUAUGCUGGUGGCACGUAAAAAGCACCAUCUGAAUGUGGUCGAUGCCAGCGCCCUUCGACUGGCUCCCAUGCCAGCAGCAGGUGAAAAGCACCAUCCAAAUGUAGUUGAUGCCAUUGCCACCUGACUGGCUCCUGUGCCGGUGGCACGCAAAAUGCACCCACUACGCUCUUGGAGUGGUUUGUGUUAGGAAGGGCAUCAAGCCGUAGAAACAUUGAAAGAUCAGAUUGGA
RNAcentral lists this long non-coding RNA (6011 nucleotides) under Octopus vulgaris (common octopus). The record is from RNAcentral. Lineage: Eukaryota; Metazoa; Mollusca; Cephalopoda; Octopoda; Octopodidae.